UCAGGAUGAACGCGGGCGGCGUGCCUAAUACAUGCAAGUCGAGCGAAUGGAUUAAGAGCUUGCUCUUAUGAAGUUAGCGGCGGACGGGUGAGUAACACGUGGGUAACCUGCCCAUAAGACUGGGAUAACUCCGGGAAACCGGGGCUAAUACCGGAUAACAUUUUGAACCGCAUGGUUCGAAAUUGAAAGGCGGCUUCGGCUGUCACUUAUGGAUGGACCCGCGUCGCAUUAGCUAGUUGGUGAGGUAACGGCUCACCAAGGCAACGAUGCGUAGCCGACCUGAGAGGGUGAUCGGCCACACUGGGACUGAGACACGGCCCAGACUCCUACGGGAGGCAGCAGUAGGGAAUCUUCCGCAAUGGACGAAAGUCUGACGGAGCAACGCCGCGUGAGUGAUGAAGGCUUUCGGGUCGUAAAACUCUGUUGUUAGGGAAGAACAAGUGCUAGUUGAAUAAGCUGGCACCUUGACGGUACCUAACCAGAAAGCCACGGCUAACUACGUGCCAGCAGCCGCGGUAAUACGUAGGUGGCAAGCGUUAUCCGGAAUUAUUGGGCGUAAAGCGCGCGCAGGUGGUUUCUUAAGUCUGAUGUGAAAGCCCCCGGCUCAACCGUGGAGGGUCAUUGGAAACUGGGAGACUUGAGUGCAGAAGAGGAAAGUGGAAUUCCAUGUGUAGCGGUGAAAUGCGUAGAGAUAUGGAGGAACACCAGUGGCGAAGGCGACUUUCUGGUCUGUAUCUGACACUCAGGCGCGAAAGAGUGGGGAGCAAACCCGAUUAGAUACCCUGGUAGUCCACGCCC
Molecule: ribosomal RNA, 798 nt
Filed under: Bacillus cereus
Lineage: Bacteria; Bacillati; Bacillota; Bacilli; Caryophanales; Bacillaceae
Description: bacterial SSU rRNA
Rfam family: Bacterial small subunit ribosomal RNA
Source: RNAcentral